CAUGAGGGAAAGUCUGCGCAAACUAUUUGGUUUUAUUGCAUUUGUGUGAGUAUUGAUGUUUGAAGUACCGCGACAUCAGUAAGGUAAUUCUGUUUUAUUUUAGGAGAAAUUAUUCCAUUAAUUUUGGAUAUAAGGUGGAGAAUAAAAUUCUUUAAGGAAUGAAUUUGAUUGGCUUCGAUUUGUGUUUAUGUAUUUAUUCUUCAUUCAUAUUUUUUGUAUAUAAUUUUUUUUUAAAGAUUUUGAUCCCGAUUAAAUAUUUAAUUCUUAUCUGGUUUGACCAUCCGGAUCGAGUCUGGUUUUAGUUUAUUGACAAAUUGAGCAAUAACCAUCCCAAUAUGCAUGCAUAUAUAAUAUUAUAGUCCCAUUAACAAAAAAAAUAUCUCUUUUAGAUUAAACCAUAGUUGUUAAAUGGUUACAAGUUUAGUUAACAAGUCCUUAGCAAACACUUUGUUUAGUACCAAAAGGAAUGGUACAGGUUCAAGCAAUCUCGACCGCAUUCCCUCAUGGUACAAACAGUGAUGGUCCUCGAAGGCCUGAGUUUCCCUGAGACACUGGCCACACGCGUCCGAGGUAGGGUCAGUACACGAAGCGGCUGCAUACAUCGUGAACUUCCCGUCGGGCGUCCUAGCGUUGAUGCUCGUCGUGAACUCGACCCGAUGGAUCGCUGUGUUGUGGACCGUCACCACGUCAAUCAUUGACAAUAAAAGCCUGUUGGAUGGGUUCUGGUUUGAUUAUAUGUGUUUGCUAAACUUAAACGCAGGUGUUAUGGCCCGUAAAGGAAGCCUGGUCCAAGUACGUAGCUCAAGCCCAGUCGACAACUGCUGACGCGUGGCUUCUACUUACCUUAAAAUUAUCAUCACAUCGCAAGAGGCAGCUAGCGAUUGGAAAAUCUCUUCUUCUUCAUACGAGAAAUCAGGCGAACCUGCAAGAAAAGAAGGAAGGUUCGUUUCUCGAAUUAUUCGUCAGCAAGGAAAUCAAACGAUGAUAAAAUAGAGGCUGCGAUCAUCUUCAAAGGGUGCGCUUUCAACGGUGAAGGAAAUCCAACCAGGCUCAAGGACACAAUCAGGAGAAGGACUGUGUAAUUGGAGAUAAAGCUUUGAUCGAGCAAUCGCAGUUGAAGUUCAGUUUGAGCCUUAGGAGUUAGCUGGAGCAUAACUGGAGCAACGACGAUUAGUUCAUCAAAGACCUAAAGGGUCGCCAGCCUUGUCAAACUUGUGAUUUCAUUAUUCUCAUAUCUAGAUAUCGUUGAUGGAUUUCUGGAAGGCAUGCAUGCUAAGUUAUUGAUUAUUAAGUUAUUCAAAACUAUAUUUCGCUGCAACUACUCUUCAUCUACACAUUAUUG
Molecule: long non-coding RNA, 1342 nt
Filed under: Linum usitatissimum (flax)
Lineage: Eukaryota; Viridiplantae; Streptophyta; Magnoliopsida; Malpighiales; Linaceae
Description: long non-coding RNA (LUSI_LNC005082)
Source: RNAcentral